UUUGAUGCUGUAGGUAUUGGAGUUGGGGCUCAAUUUCUUAUGUGAUCAUCCACAUUUAGAGCUGAGCAAGCAGAAUCCUCAAUUGACAAGGCUUAUUCAAGAGCAUAAUCCGAUUUUCUAUGCUUAUUGAAAGAACUAGUCAAAGGUGUAGAAGGAUUUUGUUAAUGAUCUUACUGGAGUAAUGCCCAGGUCAUCAAUAUUACCCCAGAAGAAUGCUAUGCAAUUGGAGUGCAAAUGUUCAGCCAAUGCUAUAGGAGCUGAACAAGCAGAAUCUUCAAGUGAUGAGGUUUAUCCCAGCGAACCAAUCUGAUUUUCUUUGCUUACUGAAAGAAUUAAUCAAAGGUGGAGACAGGUGAGUACCAUUUUUAAUUCAACAUUUAAAAAAUAAUUCUAGUACUGUGCACUUUAUUUAUUGAUAUAUAAUUGUUUUCUGAUGUUUUAAUUCUGUGUAUCAAAGAUGUUGUUAACGAUCUUAUUGGAGUAAUGCCCUAGGUUAUCAAUGUUAUCCUAGAAGAAUGCUAUGCAAUUGAAUUUGUAAAUGUUUAG
Cryptomeria japonica (Japanese cedar) is the source of this 546-nucleotide long non-coding RNA. RefSeq lists it as uncharacterized. Lineage: Eukaryota; Viridiplantae; Streptophyta; Pinopsida; Cupressales; Cupressaceae. The record is from RefSeq and is a predicted model, not a curated record. The transcript has 4 exons.